Triticum aestivum (bread wheat) is the source of this 1563-nucleotide long non-coding RNA. RefSeq lists it as uncharacterized. The transcript has 3 exons. The record is from RefSeq and is a predicted model, not a curated record. Lineage: Eukaryota; Viridiplantae; Streptophyta; Magnoliopsida; Poales; Poaceae.
GCCAUGCCACAAUUAGGCUACCGUCCUGUUUCCUUUUCUUCCCGUUGUGCUGCAGAUGCCGCAGCCGAUUCUUCUAGGUAUAUACUGCCUCGGCACCUACUCAUCUUUAUGUGACCUCAUACCUCGCGAUCGCCUUCCUCCGCCUGUGGAAUCUCGGAUCUGUGAUGUUCUCUCUUAAGUCCCAACACAAUUCUCUGUCAAAUUACUUGUGCAUGCAGUUGUCUCACCAUCUUUAGUUUGGUGCAACGAAGCCUUGGCGAUUGCAUGGCUGAGCUAUCAUUGAAUGAGUUGAUUAAGGCUCUGACUUUAAGAUUAGAUCCAUGAAGAAAGUGUUACCCGAAUAUGGAUGUCUGGUGUUUAUACAACCAGGUGUUUCGUGUAAUGGUUACAUCUUGAAAGCUAUGUCUACGCUUCCUUAUUGCAUUGUGGUCCGUAUCGUCCUUCUAUACACAUUAGUUUGACCAUCGUUAGUUCAGUUCAUUGGUGUCAUCAUUUUCUUCGUUGUUUUCUUAAACAACAGAAUCAUCUGGAUUGCAAGUAAGAACUUCUAAAUAACCAUGAACAUUUGAUUUUAUAGCAUGCAGUAAGAUUUCCUUAUCACAUUCUUCUCCCUGAACCCUACCUACAUCUAUGUACCAGUUGCAGUGGUGGAUAGCAGGAGCUGAGCCGAGAAGGACGAAGAGAUAGAUGAAUUAUUCUUAGGAUAAUCGCCGUCAGUGAGGACCAAUCCUUCCGUCCCUUCCAGUUCUCCUCACGGUUAAUCCCGCGCAAUUCGAUUUGUACAUGAUAUGUGUGUGCUGUGUAAUGACAGUGGUAAACGAAAAUUUCCCAUUGCAUUAAUCCUGAUUUGCAUGUGUAUGUCGAUGUUGCUGCUUUUCAUUUACAUGGUCUUCAUCGAUACCAACAAGACAUCAUGUACAGAUGGUUGUCGCACAGAUUGAUGCUACUGCUUUUGAUUUUCAGGGCCUACUCACAAACGAUAUGCAUGCGUAGUCCUUCAAAAACAAGGGAACCGUCAUGUUGAUAAGCGAGUCGUUGCCUCCCGAGGUGAACUGCUUAGGAUCAGACGCUAAUCAUCUCUGGAAUUUUGAUCUUCUGCAUGGAGAGUACUCACCGGUGGCAGCUCCAUGAGUACUUGCCGGAGUAUAUGUCUACGUGUCUAAGGAAAAAGAAUCAAGGAAAGGCAUAUUUUCUUCUGCAGCCAUACCUCGGUUGUUCAUCCGAUUGUUGUGUGUUAUUCUGGUGCAUAGCAAGAGAAGCCUCUUCUAAAUCAUGUUGCGGUUCGCCUGUCCUGUGUGUUGCUUUGAUUCAAAAAAAAACAAGAUCGAGAAGCACAAGGUGACUACCGUAGAUGGAUCUGUCACCCGCUGCCUCCAUCGAUUCAACAUUGGAUUGCAAAACUGCAACGCAGGACCCUCAGCCAUGCAGUGAUCACUAUUUUUUUGCAGACCAUUCUGUACAGGCUUCUCCCUACCAUGUGUAAUCUAUCAGGCAUGUAUGCAAUGCACAUUUAGGCGUGCCAUCGUACUAUAGGCUAUGCGUGCUUGACAUAAUGUGAUUUUG